GGGAAUAUGGCUUAGUGGUAGAGUGCUUGCCUAGCAAGCAUGAAGCCCUGGGUUCAAUUCCUCAGUACCA
Dipodomys ordii (Ord's kangaroo rat) is the source of this 70-nucleotide non-coding RNA. The record is from Rfam. NCBI's taxonomy places the organism in Eukaryota, Metazoa, Chordata, Mammalia, Rodentia, Heteromyidae.